RNAcentral lists this ribosomal RNA (253 nucleotides) under uncultured prokaryote. RNAcentral describes it as "partial 16S ribosomal RNA". It matches the Rfam family "Bacterial small subunit ribosomal RNA", at positions 525 to 777 of the family's 1533-position model. The record is from RNAcentral.
ACGAAGGGUGCAAGCGUUACUCGGAAUUACUGGGCGUAAAGCGUGCGUAGGCGGUUUGUUAAGUCCGUUGUGAAAGCCCUGGGCUCAACCUGGGAAUUGCGGUGGAUACUGGCGAGCUAGAGUGCGGUAGAGGAUGGUGGAAUUCCCGGUGUAGCGGUGAAAUGCGUAGAGAUCGGGAGGAACACCAGUGGCGAAGGCGGCUCACUGGCUCGGUACUGACGCUGAGGUGCGAAAGCGUGGGGAGCAAACAGGA